This 115-nucleotide small nuclear RNA is filed under the name Otus sunia (Oriental scops-owl). RNAcentral describes it as "U5 spliceosomal RNA (ENSOSUG00000011275.1)". It matches the Rfam family "U5 spliceosomal RNA". Rfam says of the family: U5 RNA is a component of both types of known spliceosome. The precise function of this molecule is unknown, though it is known that the 5' loop is required for splice site selection and p220 binding, and that both the 3' stem-loop and the Sm site are important for Sm protein binding and cap methylation. Lineage: Eukaryota; Metazoa; Chordata; Aves; Strigiformes; Strigidae. The record is from Rfam by way of RNAcentral.
AUGCUUUAGUUUCUCUUCAAAACGUAUAAAUCUUUCGCCUUUUACUAAAGAUUUCCGUGGAGAGAAACAAUAAUGAGCUAUUGAAAAUUUUUUUAGGCUUCACUUCGGUGAGGCU